CUCGUAGUUGGAUUCUGUCGAAAACGGCCGGUCCGCACUAUGUGCGUGUAUCUGGUUCGGUUUUGGCAUCCUCGUGGGAGACAGAGCUGCGCUUGAUUGCGUGGGCUGGAAUUCACGACUUUUACUUUGAGGAAAUUAGAGUGUUCACGGCAGGCAUGCGCCUUGAAUACAUUAGCAUGGAAUAAUAAUAUAGGACCUUAGUUCUAUUUUGUUGGUUUCUAGAACUGAGGUAAUGAUUAAUAGGGAUAAUUGGGGGCAUUUGUAUUAACGCGUCAGAGGUGGAAUUCUUGGAUUGCGUUACGACAAACUACUGCGAAAGCAUUUGCCAAGGAUGUUUUCAUUGAUCAAGAACGAAAGUAUGGGGAUCGAAGAUGAUUAGAUACCGUCGUAGUCCAUACCAUAAACUAUGCCGACUAGAGAUUGGAGGUCGUUCUUUUAUUGACUCCUUCAGCACCUUAUGAGAAAUCAAAGUCUUUCGGUUCCGGGGGGAGUAUGGUCGCAAGGCUGAAACUUAAAGGAAUUGACGGAAGGGCACCACCAGGAGUGGAGCCUGCGGCUUAAUUUGACUCAACACGGGAAAACUCACCAGGUCCAGACAUAGUAAGGAUUGACAGAUUGAUAGCUCUUUCUUGAUUCUG
RNAcentral lists this ribosomal RNA (638 nucleotides) under uncultured marine Syndiniales. RNAcentral's name for it is "SSU rRNA". It matches the Rfam family "Eukaryotic small subunit ribosomal RNA", at positions 627 to 1270 of the family's 1831-position model. Lineage: Eukaryota; Dinophyceae; Syndiniales. The record is from RNAcentral.